Dreissena polymorpha is the source of this 301-nucleotide long non-coding RNA. RefSeq lists it as uncharacterized. The transcript has 3 exons. The record is from RefSeq and is a predicted model, not a curated record. NCBI's taxonomy places the organism in Eukaryota, Metazoa, Mollusca, Bivalvia, Myida, Dreissenidae.
GUGAUGUUUUGUGAUACAUGCACACACAGCUCUAACACUUACAUGACAUCCGGGCUACUGGAGGUGAUGUUUUGUGAUGCGUGCACACACAGCUCUAACACUUACAUGACAUCCGGGCUACUGGAGGUGAUGUUUUGUGAUACGUGCACACACAGCUCUAACACUUACAUGACAUCCGGGCUACUGGAGGUGAUGUUUUGUGAUACAUGCACACACAGCUCUAACACUUACAUGACAUCCGGGCUACUGGAGGUGAUGUUUUGUGAUACGUGCACACACAGCUCUAACACUUACAUGACAU